CACGGGCAUGCCUUAGUACGGCGAGUGAAGCGGCAAAAGCUCAAAUUUGAAAUCUGGUACCUUCGGUGCCCGAGUUGUAAUUUGGAGAGGGCAACUUUGGGGCCGUUCCUUGUCUAUGUUCCUUGGAACAGGACGUCAUAGAGGGUGAGAAUCCCGUGUGGCGAGGAGUGCGGUUCUUUGUAAAGUGCCUUCGAAGAGUCGAGUUGUUUGGGAAUGCAGCUCUAAGUGGGUGGUAAAUUCCAUCUAAAGCUAAAUAUUGGCGAGAGACCGAUAGCGAACAAGUACAGUGAUGGAAAGAUGAAAAGAACUUUGAAAAGAGAGUGAAAAAGUACGUGAAAUUGUUGAAAGGGAAGGGCAUUUGAUCAGACAUGGUGUUUUGUGCCCUCUGCUCCUUGUGGGUAGGGGAAUCUCGCAUUUCACUGGGCCAGCAUCAUUUUUGGUGGCAGGAUAAAUCCAUAGGAAUGUAGCUUGCCUCGGUAAGUAUUAUAGCCUGUGGGAAUACUGCCAGCUGGGACUGAGGACUGCGACGUAAGUCAAGGAUGCUGGCAUAAUGGUUAUAUGCCGCCCGUCUUGACC
RNAcentral lists this ribosomal RNA (576 nucleotides) under Saccharomyces cerevisiae (brewer's yeast). RNAcentral describes it as "eukaryotic LSU rRNA". It matches the Rfam family "Eukaryotic large subunit ribosomal RNA", at positions 68 to 659 of the family's 3401-position model. The record is from RNAcentral. Lineage: Eukaryota; Fungi; Ascomycota; Saccharomycetes; Saccharomycetales; Saccharomycetaceae.